This 1283-nucleotide ribosomal RNA is filed under the name Coleoptera sp. ACP-2013. RNAcentral's name for it is "16S ribosomal RNA". The stretch from base 1045 to 1203 matches the Rfam family "Archaeal large subunit ribosomal RNA", at positions 2542 to 2701 of the family's 2987-position model. Lineage: Eukaryota; Metazoa; Arthropoda; Insecta; Coleoptera. The record is from RNAcentral.
UUAAUUUGAUUUAAUGUUAUUACUAAUUUUAUUGGGUUUAUAUUAAUUAAUGUAAGUAUAUUUUUAAUUUUAUUAAUCUUAGGAAAUAAGUUUAGUUUGUGGUAGUUGAAUAGUAUUGUAAAAGGUUUAAUUUAAAAUUUGUAAAGGAAAUAGUCUGUUGUACCUUGUGUAUCAGGGUUUACUAAAUAAAUUUAAAAUAUUAAGGUUUCUCGAAUUAAGAAGAGUUAAUUUUUUAAAGAUUUUAUUGUGAAAUAAAUAUUUAAAAUAAAAAUUUAGUAAUGAAAUGUUAUUCGGGUUUUAAUAUAUCUGGUUUUUAGAGAAAAAAGUUUAAUUUUUUUUUAAUUGAUUAGGGGGUUUUUUAAUAAUUUUUUAAUGGUUGAAGGAUAUAUAUUUUGGGAUAAGCUAGAAUAUAGAUUAUUAUAAUUCUAUAAUGUUAAUUUUAAUUUUAGGAUUAAAAUUGUUCACAAGUUAAAUGAUGUUAUAAUUUUUAUAAUAUUUAAUAAAAUUUUUAUGGAAUUUAGGUUUUUUAUCUAAAAAUUUUAUUUAAUAAUUAGUUGAAAGAUGUAAUGGUAAAAUUAGUAUAAAAUCUUAUAUUUUAGGAAAUAUUUGAUGGUAAAAUAAAGGAAUUCGGCAAUGGCAUUUUUCACCUGUUUAUUAAAAACUUGUCUUUUUGAUAAUAAUUUAAGGUUGUCCCUGCCCACUGAAAAUUUAAAUGGCCGCAGUAUUUUGACUGUGCAAAGGUAGCAUAAUCAUUAGUUUUUUAAUUGAAAGCUGGAAUGAAAGGGUUAAUGAAAAAAUGGCUGUCUCUAUUUUAUUUGUUUAUAAUUUUAUUUUUAAGUAAGAAAGCUUAAAUUUUAUUAAAAGACGAUAAGACCCUAUAGAGUUUAAUAUUAUAAUUGAUUUAGUUUAUUAGAAUUUUAUUUAUUAAUUUGGUUAUAAUAUUUUGUUGGGGUGAUAAAAAAAUUAAAAUAACUUUUUUUAGUUUAACAUUUAUAUGUGAGUUUUUGAUCCAUUUCUAUGAUUAUAAGAUAAAAUUACCUUAGGGAUAACAGCGUAAUUUUUUUUAAGAGUUCAAAUCGAAAAGAAAGUUUGCGACCUCGAUGUUGGAUUAAAAUUUAUUUUUGAAGCAGCCAUUAAAAAAUUAGGUCUGUUCGACCUUUAAAAUUUUACAUGAUCUGAGUUUAGACCGGCGUGAGCCAGGUUGGUUUCUAUCUUUAAUAAAAAUUAAUGUUUUAGUACGAAAGGAUUAGGCAUUAAACUGAUUAGUUUUAAUUUUAUUAAUA